Molecule: ribosomal RNA, 2274 nt
Filed under: Staphylococcus aureus DAR3847
Lineage: Bacteria; Bacillati; Bacillota; Bacilli; Caryophanales; Staphylococcaceae
Description: bacterial LSU rRNA
Rfam family: Bacterial large subunit ribosomal RNA
Source: RNAcentral
UUAAGUUAUUAAGGGCGCACGGUGGAUGCCUUGGCACUAGAAGCCGAUGAAGGACGUUACUAACGACGAUAUGCUUUGGGGAGCUGUAAGUAAGCUUUGAUCCAGAGAUUUCCGAAUGGGGAAACCCAGCAUGAGUUAUGUCAUGUUAUCGAUAUGUGAAUACAUAGCAUAUCAGAAGGCACACCCGGAGAACUGAAACAUCUUAGUACCCGGAGGAAGAGAAAGAAAAUUCGAUUCCCUUAGUAGCGGCGAGCGAAACGGGAAGAGCCCAAACCAACAAGCUUGCUUGUUGGGGUUGUAGGACACUCUAUACGGAGUUACAAAGGACGACAUUAGACGAAUCAUCUGGAAAGAUGAAUCAAAGAAGGUAAUAAUCCUGUAGUCGAAAAUGUUGUCUCUCUUGAGUGGAUCCUGAGUACGACGGAGCACGUGAAAUUCCGUCGGAAUCUGGGAGGACCAUCUCCUAAGGCUAAAUACUCUCUAGUGACCGAUAGUGAACCAGUACCGUGAGGGAAAGGUGAAAAGCACCCCGGAAGGGGAGUGAAAUAGAACCUGAAACCGUGUGCUUACAAGUAGUCAGAGCCCGUUAAUGGGUGAUGGCGUGCCUUUUGUAGAAUGAACCGGCGAGUUACGAUUUGAUGCAAGGUUAAGCAGUAAAUGUGGAGCCGUAGCGAAAGCGAGUCUGAAUAGGGCGUUUAGUAUUUGGUCGUAGACCCGAAACCAGGUGAUCUACCCUUGGUCAGGUUGAAGUUCAGGUAACACUGAAUGGAGGACCGAACCGACUUACGUUGAAAAGUGAGCGGAUGAACUGAGGGUAGCGGAGAAAUUCCAAUCGAACCUGGAGAUAGCUGGUUCUCUCCGAAAUAGCUUUAGGGCUAGCCUCAAGUGAUGAUUAUUGGAGGUAGAGCACUGUUUGGACGAGGGGCCCCUCUCGGGUUACCGAAUUCAGACAAACUCCGAAUGCCAAUUAAUUUAACUUGGGAGUCAGAACAUGGGUGAUAAGGUCCGUGUUCGAAAGGGAAACAGCCCAGACCACCAGCUAAGGUCCCAAAAUAUAUGUUAAGUGGAAAAGGAUGUGGCGUUGCCCAGACAACUAGGAUGUUGGCUUAGAAGCAGCCAUCAUUUAAAGAGUGCGUAAUAGCUCACUAGUCGAGUGACACUGCGCCGAAAAUGUACCGGGGCUAAACAUAUUACCGAAGCUGUGGAUUGUCCUUUGGACAAUGGUAGGAGAGCGUUCUAAGGGCGUUGAAGCAUGAUCGUAAGGACAUGUGGAGCGCUUAGAAGUGAGAAUGCCGGUGUGAGUAGCGAAAGACGGGUGAGAAUCCCGUCCACCGAUUGACUAAGGUUUCCAGAGGAAGGCUCGUCCGCUCUGGGUUAGUCGGGUCCUAAGCUGAGGCCGACAGGCGUAGGCGAUGGAUAACAGGUUGAUAUUCCUGUACCACCUAUAAUCGUUUUAAUCGAUGGGGGGACGCAGUAGGAUAGGCGAAGCGUGCGAUUGGAUUGCACGUCUAAGCAGUAAGGCUGAGUAUUAGGCAAAUCCGGUACUCGUUAAGGCUGAGCUGUGAUGGGGAGAAGACAUUGAGUCUUCGAGUCGUUGAUUUCACACUGCCGAGAAAAGCCUCUAGAUAGAAAAUAGGUGCCCGUACCGCAAACCGACACAGGUAGUCAAGAUGAGAAUUCUAAGGUGAGCGAGCGAACUCUCGUUAAGGAACUCGGCAAAAUGACCCCGUAACUUCGGGAGAAGGGGUGCUCUUUAGGGUUAACGCCCAGAAGAGCCGCAGUGAAUAGGCCCAAGCGACUGUUUAUCAAAAACACAGGUCUCUGCUAAACCGUAAGGUGAUGUAUAGGGGCUGACGCCUGCCCGGUGCUGGAAGGUUAAGAGGAGUGGUUAGCUUCUGCGAAGCUACGAAUCGAAGCCCCAGUAAACGGCGGCCGUAACUAUAACGGUCCUAAGGUAGCGAAAUUCCUUGUCGGGUAAGUUCCGACCCGCACGAAAGGCGUAACGAUUUGGGCACUGUCUCAACGAGAGACUCGGUGAAAUCAUAGUACCUGUGAAGAUGCAGGUUACCCGCGACAGGACGGAAAGACCCCGUGGAGCUUUACUGUAGCCUGAUAUUGAAAUUCGGCACAGCUUGUACAGGAUAGGUAGGAGCCUUUGAAACGUGAGCGCUAGCUUACGUGGAGGCGCUGGUGGGAUACUACCCUAGCUGUGUUGGCUUUCUAACCCGCACCACUUAUCGUGGUGGGAGACAGUGUCAAGCGGGCAGUUUGACU